RNAcentral lists this long non-coding RNA (1493 nucleotides) under Homo sapiens (human). RNAcentral describes it as "HSALNT0124951". The record is from RNAcentral. Lineage: Eukaryota; Metazoa; Chordata; Mammalia; Primates; Hominidae.
CUGAUGCAUUUGCCUCACAGCUGUUAAGAUCCUUUCCUUCAUCUUGACUUUAGGUCUAACCACCCAGCAGAGUAGCGGACUCCAAGCUGAAACUGGAGAAUGUCUGCAAUGAGUCUUUUGAUAUGAUCCAUCUUCAGGUCUUGCAACUGUGGAUACCAGCACCUGCUGCAGUGGAGUCAGCAAGGGAGUGAAGUGGACUCUUUGAGAGUCCUUGGUUGUAUUCUUGUUUAGUGUGCUGGUUUUGUGUUGGUUGGCCUCUAGCCAGGAAGUGGAACUUUCAAUAGCUCAUCAGCUGUGGUCCUAUAUGCAGGAUGCACAGUUGCCCUAGGGACACCUAGUUAAGUAUUCAGAUUUGUCAGGCAAUGGGCAGGGCCAUAGGGCACCCAAGAGAUUAUGACCUUUGUCUUCAGCUACCAGGGUGAGUUGAGAAAGACCCCAGGUGAACGCAGGGAUAGGUGUGUCUGAGCUCAGCCUUUUCUUGGGCAGGGCUUGCUGCUGCUGCUGUGGGUGUGGUUCCCAAAUUCAAGGGAGUUAUAUUCCCAGGAAUAUUGUGUCUCCCUCUGCUGAGUCAUAUAGGUCACCAGGGAAGUGGGGGAAAGCCAGCAGUCACAAACCUAACCCCACUCCCACACAACCUACAGUCCUAAAGGCCAUGCCCACUCCCAUGGUGCCCCAACAACAGUACCUUGUCAUCCAGUGAACAGGGCUGAGAACUUGUCCCAGACCAUGAGCCUCCCCAUUGAGAAAGCAAGCAGACUCACACUUUUUCAGCAUCUCAGGGAGCCUGCAGUAGCGAUGCAGCUCCUUCAAAACGUUGUGGAUUCUCGCGGCUUUCCUGGUAUGUUCCUGCAGUAGUUCUUGGAGAAAAAAUUCACAAUGUGAGUCUUUGCACGCUGCUCUGUUCAUCGGAGCGGAAGCUACAAGCUAGUUCUGCCUCGAUUUUCCAGGACUUCUUAUCUGUCUUCUGUUCUCACAUACUCUGCACCACACAUAGGUGACUGAAUCUAUUCUCAAGGCUCUAGGACUGCCAUUGUUUUUCUGUUCCUGGUCAUUACACCCAUUUCAGACCACACUAUUUACUUGGUUCUAUUCUGGAUCUUUUUUUGACUUUUCAAGACUCCAAAAAUCCUGCCUAGAGACACUCACCCAUUCUAGACUAUAGAUGCAAAUCUCUGCAUGGAAAAAGAACACAACUGCAAGAAAUAGAAGGAAAAAUUUAUUUUGCUAUCAUCACAACUAAGUGUUUAUUAUUAAACCAAUAUUUAAAUUUAAGUCAACUCCAUAAACAUUUUUUAAAUAUUUUCUUUAUGCUAGGCAUAACGGUAGAAAUAAAAAUAUACAUUAUCACUGCUCAAAGAGUAUGCAGUUUAAAAUGAAGAUUUGCAAGUAGAAUACUGAAUUGCUAUUUAGGCUUAUGCAUGUGGAAAAAAAAAAAAAGAAAAAGAAAGCAAUAUCUAAGGUAUCCAGGUGUAGCACCAGAGAAGCACCAAUCU